RNAcentral lists this long non-coding RNA (1345 nucleotides) under Nicotiana tabacum (common tobacco). RNAcentral describes it as "long non-coding RNA (NTAB_LNC007863)". The record is from RNAcentral. Lineage: Eukaryota; Viridiplantae; Streptophyta; Magnoliopsida; Solanales; Solanaceae.
UGUGGUUGUUUCAUUACAGAUUGGCAUUGUUCAAUCUAUUAUUCGUGCGGCCUAUUUCAAUUUUCACUCCUUUUGUGAAAGUAAGCUUUAUCAAAUUUUCCUCUUUUCUCUUUAGUUGCUUUUGGUGUUAUUAAAGAAUGUGCAGACGUUGAAUAGUUCCAUAAGGUCAGUUGAAUUUAAUUAUUUGGGUUUGUUAAAUUUAUUGUUACAUUUCAGUUAGACCAAUUUAUUUCACCAACCUUGUCUAUAGGCCUGAAAUGAUGUUUUGAGACAUCAUUUAGCCUUGAAUUUUUGACAUCAAAUUUAUAAAAAUUUGAAAGGUUCAGUUUGUUGUUAUUAAAGAGAAUUGGUACACAUUUUUAUAAUUGGUACACCUUUUUAUAAUUGGAUGCCCCUAUAAUGCUGUUAAAAUUGGUGUAGAUAUUGUGAGUUAUAUAUAUUGUGUAAGAAUUUUGGUAACAUCAGAAUGUAUAAAAAUUCUUUAUCACAUCUGGUUUUACUUGUUGUAGUUAAUGAUUUUAUACUUGAUUAGCUCCUCAUUGGUUGAAGAAAGCAAAUUAGCUUAUCCAUUCGUGAGAUUCUUUGUGUAUUAUACUAGUAACUAUUGUUAAAGAAUUAUUGUAACCUUAGAGUGUAUGAAAAAUUCUUGAUCAGAUAUUCUUUUUACCAUUUAGAAUCAAUGAUGUUAGAUUUUACUUGUCUUCUCAUCUGUUAGAAUGAAAGAAAAUUAUCUUAUCCAUUUCCACGAGGCCUUUCCAGUACCACAAUAGUGAUACUGUAAAAAUAAACUCUUAACAAAUUAGCUUAUUUUUCUUGAGAUACUCUAUGGACUAGAGUUGUUAAAUUGUUAAGGAUCUUUGUCGACUAUAGUUAUGAUAUUAUAAAAGUAUUGCUCUGUUUUAUCCCUUCCUGGUAUGUUUUAUGUCACUGCAAGAUGGAUGCUAACAUUCCUAACACUUAUAAGUGGUAAUGUAGCCAUGACUUUGCCUUUACUUAUUUAAUUUUUGCUUUUAAAUGAGUUGCAAAAAAGAAUAAGACAAGUUGCCAUCAUUUUGGGAUUCUAACACUUUUUCUUCCUUAUGUUUCAGUUUAAAAAGGACUUUUGAAAGAAAUGGAGAUGUCUUGCCAUGUGAUAGUUGAAUAGGUUAACUUUUUUGCUAUAGUGUCCGUUCUGGAAAAGAUAGAUUCAGAUUUGCAAAGGUGAUCAUUUAUCUUGUUUAAUAGAAGUUUUAUGAGAUCUUUGUUGUUUUGGGCAAUUUCUUCUAAUUGAUGUUACUCAGUUUCUGCACUAGAUGCAGCAUGAUGAUAGCUUACAUAGAAAUGAAUUGCAAUAGUUUGUCUGGUU